UUCGCUUCGCAAUUGUCGACGUCGUAAGCGCGUUGCUGUUGUGUUGUGUCUCGUGAUUGAAUCCUAUUGAGAAUUGUCGAAAUUGUUACUUUGUAUUGCCGUGCCUCGCCAUUAAGAGAAGAUUCUUUUUAUCUCGCGGCGAAUCUUCAGCAGCUGCAAGAUUUUUAACGUGUGCAUCCUAUGUAUGCGGAUUGACAUCGCAAUCAGUCACGAUUGCCGUAGUGUGAUCAAAAUAAAAUGGCCGCCGCUGCGGCUGCCGCGCUGCUCGAUGAGCUUAUGGGCAGGAACAGGAAUGUCUUGCCCAAUGAAAAGCCCAAGGAGCUCAAUUGGGAAGAUCCCGAGUUUUGUAAGCUGUAUCUGGUAAAAUUUUGUCCCCAUGAUUUAUUCGUUAACACAAGAGCGGACUUAGGUGCAUGCCCCAAGGUACACGACGAUGAGGCCAGGGAAUUGUUUGAAAAGGCACCGCAUUCGUAUCGUAAACAGCAAUACGAGGAUGAGUUUAUCAGGUAUUGUCAGAGUAUGUUAAACGAAGUGGAGAGAAAGAUCAUAAAGGGAAAGCAGCGAUUGGCACUGAUUGGGAGAACAGAAGCACCGACGUUAACGCCAGCCCAAACUCAGAGGAAUGAGGAACAGAUUGCUCUACUAACAGAGAAAAUAAAUAAGUUGGUUGAAGAAGCUGAACAAAGUGGAAUUCAAGGUAAUGUGGAGCAAGCACAGGGCCUAAUGCGUCUUUGUGACCAGUUGAAAGAAGAGCGCGAAACUCUGAGGAAAUCCAAUGAUAACAGUCAUUACAACCAAACUGCUGAGCUAGCAGCCGCACAGGAGAAACAAAUGGAGGUAUGCGAUGUAUGUGGUGCAUUUCUUAUCGUGGGUGAUGCUCAACAGCGGAUUGAUGAUCAUUUAAUGGGGAAACAACACGUGGGCUAUGCCAGGCUAAAGAGCGCUCUUCAAGAGAUUAUGAACAAGCGUGAGAAGGCACGCGACGAGAAAGAACAAAAAAGAGAGGAGGAACGGAAGCAAAGAGCACGAGCGAACGAAGAGCUCGAUCGACGGCGGAGAGACGGCGACAGAGAAAGAGAUCGCGACAGAGAAAGAGACAAGCGUCGCAGACGAAUGGAUGAUGACAAGAACCGCCAUGAUUCGGGCGGUCAUAGCAGAAAUAUGAUGUUCAAGAAUCGAAUGAGCCAAUGUAACGGGGAUGUUGCUUAUUACAGAAAUUCUAGGCAUAGAAGUAGAAGUAGAUCGCGAGAUAAACAUCAUCGAGAUGAAGAUAGCCAUCGACGUCACGGUCGAGAUAAAGGGAAUCGUGAUCAUCGUAGUUCCAGCCAUCAUAACCGUCGCCGUCAUCGCUCGCGAAGUCGAAGUCACAAGUAACUUCUCUUGAUUGGUUAGUGAGUGAGAAGUAAGCCAGGAAAAACCCGCGAAGGUCUAUGGAAUUGUGGAUAUGCGCUUUCAAGAUGAAUCUAAUGAAUGUGAAUAAAUACAAUCAGGUUGAAACUCGUCCAAUAUAAUAGAUUCAUAGUGUUUACUUAAAAAUAAAACGAAUUGUUUCUAUAAAAAAAAAUACAGCGUUUUUCUUUUUAUUCUAAGUAGUCUUGUCGCGUUUUGUUUUUAGAUAAUUGAUUUCGAGGUUUACUCUUCGAGAAUUUAUCUUGCUUUUUCAUGUAUUUUGUAAAAGGUCAUCGUACUUCUUAUUGCGAUAAUAUAAAUUCAAAUCUCGGUAAAAGCUGAUAAUUUUGAACUUGACUCUUUUUGCUUCUCGGGCACAAGGUUAUCUCUGUAGAUUCGUUAAUGCCGCAAUCUUGUUUACGCGUCAUUAACGAGAGAGAGAGAGAGAGAGAAAGAGAGAAAGAGAGAGAGAAAGAAAGAGAUUUAGUGGUUUAGUGUGGAGGGGACACAGCUCUCAGCUCUGCCCGCUUCAUAGAGCUUCGUCCACGACUGCAAAUGCACGAGUGCACAACUGUGAGUGCGCCCUGCAAACGUGUGACUGUGACUAUACGAACCUCUAGCUUCUGCCACGCUCAAUUGACGAGGUAUUUAUGCCGGAAUGAUAAUAUCAACACAUGUCCUUCUGCCAGGAGAAUUAGCUCUUUGUUCUUUUGAGAUCCUUGGCUAGCUAAGGUUUAACGAUUUUUGAGAUACAAAGUUUUAGACAUGGAUCUUCAAAUCGCUGAUAUUUAGGAUCGUGCACAUUUGUGCAAGACCGACAUUAGUACUCUACCAUUUUUAUCAGGAAAUAAAAUAUAUUCAAACAAGAAUGCUACUCUUAGCAGAGUUAAUAGGAAAAGAAAUAUAGGAAGAAGAGAAGAACCAAGAGCGACUUCCAGAACUUGUCCAAGACAGCGUUUAACAUAUUGUUAAGGUAAAGAUUUUGCAUAAUCUUAACAAUAAAAAAAAGAGUGAGAGAAGGGAGGACAGGUGAAGAAAAUAUUUGCGUUGAGAUCACAGAUAUACCAGAAUCGAUAUAAAUCGUGUUCAAAGCAAUUAUUUUAGACCAUCCAUACAUAAACAGAAUGAUCAGCAAGGUAAAUUGUACAAUUUGUAUUUGCUGUUAUAAUAAUAAUACUUGUAAAUUGUUA
Molecule: unclassified non-coding RNA, 2579 nt
Organism: Acromyrmex echinatior (Panamanian leafcutter ant)
Lineage: Eukaryota; Metazoa; Arthropoda; Insecta; Hymenoptera; Formicidae
Source: RefSeq, a predicted model, not a curated record